GGAGGUAGGUCCUCCGGGGUCGCCCUGCAGGGGGAGGUCUCAAACCACCGCAAGCUGCGUCGGUUAAGUGCCGGGGUGGUGAGCGUUGCGGGAAAAGGCGCGACGUGAUCGCGUCAGGU
Frankia sp. is the source of this 119-nucleotide non-coding RNA. The record is from Rfam. Lineage: Bacteria; Bacillati; Actinomycetota; Actinomycetes; Frankiales; Frankiaceae.